UACGGAGGGUGCGAGCGUUGUCCGGAAUCACUGGGCGUAAAGGGCGCGUAGGUGGCCCGGUCAGCGUGCGGUGAAAGCUCGGGGCUCAACCCCGAGUCGGCCGUGCGAACUGCUGGGCUCGAGCACUGUAAAGGCAGGCGGAAUUCCGGGUGUAGCGGUGGAAUGCGUAGAGAUCCGGAAGAACACCGGUGGCGAAGGCGGCCUGCUGGGCAGUAGCUGACACUGAGGCGCGACAGCGUGGGGAGCAAACAGG
Molecule: ribosomal RNA, 253 nt
Filed under: uncultured bacterium
Lineage: Bacteria
Description: partial 16S ribosomal RNA
Rfam family: Bacterial small subunit ribosomal RNA
Source: RNAcentral